RNAcentral lists this ribosomal RNA (483 nucleotides) under uncultured bacterium. Its description in RNAcentral is "partial 16S ribosomal RNA". It matches the Rfam family "Bacterial small subunit ribosomal RNA", at positions 28 to 523 of the family's 1533-position model. The record is from RNAcentral.
GACGAACGCUGGCGGCGUGCUUAACACAUGCAAGUCGAACGGUAAGGCCCUUCGGGGUACACGAGUGGCGAACGGGUGAGUAACACGUGGGUGAUCUGCCCUGCACUUCGGGAUAAGCCUGGGAAACGGGGUCUAAUACCAUAUAGGACAACUUCUUGGAUGUUGUGAUGGAAAGCUUUUGCGGUGUGGGAUGAGCCUGCGGCCUAUCAGCUUGUUGGUGGGGUAAUGGCCUACCAAGGCGGCGACGGGUAUCCGGCCUGAGAGGGUGUACGGACACAUUGGGACUGAGAUACGGCCCAGACUCCUACGGGAGGCAGCAGUGGGGAAUAUUGCACAAUGGGCGCAAGCCUGAUGCAGCGACGCCGCGUGGGGGAUGACGGCCUUCGGGUUGUAAACUCCUUUCGCUAUCGACGAAGCCACCUUGGGUGGUGACGGUAGGUAGAUAAGAAGCACCGGCUAACUACGUGCCAGCCGCCGCGGUAA